This 549-nucleotide ribosomal RNA is filed under the name Triticum aestivum (bread wheat). RNAcentral's name for it is "partial small subunit ribosomal RNA". Lineage: Eukaryota; Viridiplantae; Streptophyta; Magnoliopsida; Poales; Poaceae. The record is from RNAcentral.
GGCGGCGACUGCAUACAAAGCCCAGUUCCUGGGGCUAACUCUUUCCCCUAUGGACCGCAUGGUUUGGAAGGCUUGCCCCCCUCCCCUCCCAAGGUCAAGUUCUUUGCUUGGUUGGCUAUCCAAGAUCGGAUUUGGACCGCCGAUCGCUUGGAGAGACGGGUUUGGACAAAUUGUGGGCUUUGCCCUCUAUGCUUAAGAGAGCAAGAAUCGGGUGCACAUCUCUUCUUCAAGUGCCGCUACACGCUCCAUCUAUGGAGGAUUAUCAUUGAAAAACUUGGCCUUGCUCACAUGGACACCAUCCUUUGGCACCUUGAUGAUUCCGUCCACGAGUGGUGGGACAAGAGAACUGGCAAUCACAUCCCCAAACGGAGUGCUAUGACCUCCCUCACUAUGCUCAUCUCCUGGACCAUUUGGAACGAGCGUAAUGCAAGAGUGUUCCGCCACAAGAGCGCGCCGCCAUCUAUUCUACUUAGCAACAUCGUCGAGGAGGCAAAGCUCUGGAUCACUGCCGGUGCUAAAAGACUAGGGAUCAUUUUUUUCCGUGAGUAA